CUUCUUCCCCUUUCUCACGAUCGACAUACAGAUUACAAACAGGAGAAGCCCCACCACCACCGGCGACCGUGCUUCCCACCUCCACCGGCGACCACGCUUUCCACCUCCACCAUCAGAACCCAACCCCAGCGCUCCCCACCACCGGCUUCUGGGCAAUCCGACUUUGCCCCACCCCCAGCGCUCCCCACCGCCGGCGAACGCCACCACCACCGGCUUCUGAGCAGUCCGACUUUGCCCCACCACAAAGGUUAUGCUUGGAAGAUUGAGAGGGCAGCUUGAUUACAUAUGGCUGUUAACUUUGGAAUUUCAAAUCCGAGCCAUAGCAACCAUUGCUUAUUCCUACCCAAGAAGAGUUUUUGUUGGAAAAAGCUUGAAGAUGAUUCAUGAGUUUAAAUAGAGAGAUAUCGGCAUAGAGAUGACUCCGCUUGGAAGUUCAACAACUUCGAGAUGCCACAUGCCGUUGAAAUAGAUUGAAGCUAUUCAAGUGAAUCAAAGGCCAAGAAAAUGAUCAAUUGUUGUAAUUUGGAACAUGAAAUUGUAAUUUGUUGGAAUAUCAAGUUGAAAUAUCAAGUUGAAAUAUCAAGUUGUAGUUUUGUGAAACCCAACUUCGCUUGUAACCUAUUUGUGUGACUGUUGUUUUAUGGUUUUUGUUGGGAAUGGAUAAUUUGGCAAUGGAUUGCAA
This is a long non-coding RNA of Rhododendron vialii, 682 nucleotides long. RefSeq lists it as uncharacterized. The transcript is spliced from 2 exons. The record is from RefSeq and is a predicted model, not a curated record. NCBI's taxonomy places the organism in Eukaryota, Viridiplantae, Streptophyta, Magnoliopsida, Ericales, Ericaceae.